Molecule: ribosomal RNA, 326 nt
Filed under: uncultured eukaryote
Lineage: Eukaryota
Description: partial 18S ribosomal RNA
Rfam family: Eukaryotic small subunit ribosomal RNA
Source: RNAcentral
CCCUUAGAUGUUCUGGGCCGCACGCGCGCUACACUGACGAUGGCAACGAGUUUUUCCUUCGCCGAAAGGUGUGGGUAAUCUUUUGAAACAUCGUCGUGCUGGGGAUAGAUCAUUGCAAUUUUUGAUCUUGAACGAGGAAUUCCUAGUAAGCGCGGGUCAUCAUCCCGCGCUGAAUACGUCCCUGCCCUUUGUACACACCGCCCGUCGCUCCUACCGAUUGAGUGGUCCGGUGAGGCUUUGGGAUCUGAGCGGAAAGAGCGUUUCGCUGUUUCUGCUCGGAAAACUCAGUCGAACCUUAUCAUUUAGAGGAAGGAGAAGUCGUAACA